CGGCGGACGGGUGAGUAACGCGUGGGGAACCUGCCCUAUACAGGGGGAUAACAGUUAGAAAUGACUGCUAAUACCGCAUAAGCGCACGGAGCCGCAUGGCCCUGAGUGAAAAACGAUAGUGGUAUAGGAGGGACCCGCGUCUGAUUAGGUAGUUGGUGGGGUAACGGCCCACCAAGCCGACGAUCAGUAGCCGACCUGAGAGGGUGACCGGCCACAUUGGGACUGAGACACGGCCCAAACUCCUACGGAAGGCAGCAG
RNAcentral lists this ribosomal RNA (258 nucleotides) under uncultured bacterium. RNAcentral's name for it is "partial 16S ribosomal RNA". It matches the Rfam family "Bacterial small subunit ribosomal RNA", at positions 96 to 354 of the family's 1533-position model. The record is from RNAcentral.